Long non-coding RNA from Strigops habroptila (Kakapo), 2309 nucleotides. The record is from Ensembl. Lineage: Eukaryota; Metazoa; Chordata; Aves; Psittaciformes; Psittacidae.
GGUGAAGCCCAGGGAAGCAGAAGCUGUAUGCAUCUUUAAGGAGGGACUCAGCUGCUCACGACAGCAAGCCUUGGGUUCAUUCAGAAGAACUGCCUCUGGAGAUAUUUAGAAGAACAUGAUGCCCAAGAAGCCUCAGCAGUCUUUGUGUGAACAAUGGACCAGCUGAGGCGAUUCCAGAGGAUUUCAGAGGAUUCACCAGAUCUUUGCAAAUCCUUCAGCUGAACAAGCCCACCCUUCUGAACUCUUUCACCCAGGCUUGAUACAUCAAGCAAACUUUGGUGGAGUUAUUCUUGCCUCACACCAAUGGUAAGAGGAAAGAGCAGCGUGUUUCAUGUUAUUUUGUGCCAGAUGUUUUGUUGGUAGAAAUCCAUAGCUCCACAGGCACCAAUUUCUUCAGGAUCUGGAAUGUCUGGCACAAUUUCUUUCUCCAUUCUGGACGGUCUGUGAAGGAAACUGCUUUGUUUUGCAAUAUUGAAUAUUCAUGCUGGGAAGUUAUAAGCAAAAGCAAAAUAAUGAGAGACAGGGUCUCUAAUAAGCUUCCUGUCACAUGAGGCUCUGGUUCUGUUGAAGCAGAUGUGGUUUCCAAAAUGUUUGUUGAGUGGUGAUUAGAUUCUGUCAUACUGAUGUUAUCUCUCUCUGAUCUCCUUCAAUACAAGUAGUUCUGCAAACAGCGAAAUCUUUUCUCCUAUGGAUUUAUAUCUCGGAUUGUGUUUCAGCGUGCAUCAGAUGUGAUGUUUGAUGGAGAUUGAGUUAAUUUUAGCCUGUUUCUUCAAUGAGAGAUGAAUAAUGUCUUCUUUACUUGGCUAUCAACUUUCACAAUUAAGCAUCUCCAGCGUUAAAUUUGAUUGGGAAUUAUGAACCAGCUCCAAAGUUAUUUGGGAUCAACUCAUGUAAACAAACAUGAGCACGAGUCUCAUUUGCUUACAAAAGCAACAGGUAAGAAUCAAUUAUAAAAUAUCUUGUCCUUGUGUAUUACCUGCUUGAUUCUGUUCUGGUUUAUUUGUGAUCAAUCACAGAUGAUGUGCUUUAUUUGUAAAGCUGUAUGAAGUAUGGGAAUCGUUUUGCUACACUGACUGCAUAUUAAAUCCUCAUGAAUUUAUACUUGUUACAGGCUACACAAGAGAUUACAUUCUUUUUUGAUUGUCCUUGCUGGAGCAUGGGAAGGAGGUGACAUGCAUUUUAACUUACUGUUUGCACAGGCAAGUGCAGAGAAAGAACAGAUUGUUUUUCCUUUAGAAUUAGUCCUCAUCAGUUCUGGUUUGGAAAGGAAGAAAGGAAACCUAGAAUUGAAAAUGACCUUUAGGGUUGCUGAGUACAGUUUUCUGCUUUGCAGUGAGCCACAUUCCCAAUCUUUUUCAUAAAGAGAUUGUGCUAUUCAGAAAUAGGCUCUUUCCUCCUUGUCUCUCUUAUCCUCCCAGUUUUGACUUUAUUUGGGUGUUUGCUCCAGAAUUUCCUUCUUUUAAUAGGAGGAAACCUUCUAAUUUCCAUGGUCAGUUUAUGCAUGUUUGUUGUUAUUCUAGGAACAUCCCUUAGGUUGCAUGGCUCUUUUCUACACCAUGUAACUAAUCUGAGACUGUACAUGUGAUCUGCUGUGCCAAGGCCAGUAAAAGAGGCAGGAGUUAGUCUUCCAUUCACUUAUUUCCCUCAUACUUUCACUGUUUAUAGCAAAGUCUUUAUGCAUUUUUCAUGAUAUGUCACAUUAAGCAAAGAGAAAGUUCCUGUGGAUCACAGAUAAUUUGAGGAACUGGUCAAGUGAGAAGGGUGCUGGGAAGGUUGGCAGCAGUCUCAGCUCACUGGCUAGAGGAGGAUGAUGUUGCACAGCCUAAGGAGGUCAUAUGAAAAUUAAGGAUACCAUGAUAAAGUAAGGAAAUGCUAGCCACUUUAGCUUGUUUGUACUAAAUGAGAGGCCUGAAGUCUUUCCCCCUUCCUUCCAUGUUGAUCUUUCAAAUGUUGGUAACAUCCAGUCAGGCUUCAUGUGGUUUGACAGGGGUUUAUUGGGGCUUGACCUGGGAAACUGUAAGCUUCCUUGAGCUUCAUGUGCAGGGUCAGGGUUCUGUACCUCCACCAAAGCUAACUUUUCUUUCAUACCCUUCUCAGUGACAAUACAAAUCCGUCUUGAUUUUAACCAUUUUACUUUUAUAACAUGUCUGAAUAACCUUAUCAUCAUCUCUCUGAUUAAUAACCCUACAUUAGGCCUUCAAACUCUCUACUUGUUACCUUUCCAAUGUAAAAACUAUUUGUCUAGAUUAAGAAAUGGUUAUAUGGCUAUUACAAAAUGUCAUCAGGAUUUAAGAAUAAAGCUUUAAAAA